CCUACGGGAGGCAGCAGUGAGGAAUAUUGGUCAAUGGACGAGAGUCUGAACCAGCCAAGUAGCGUGAAGGAUGACUGCCCUAUGGGUUGUAAACUUCUUUUAUAUGGGAAUAAAACGUUCCACGUGUGGGAUUUUGUAUGUACCAUAUGAAUAAGGAUCGGCUAACUCCGUGCCAGCAGCCGCGGUAAUACGGAGGAUCCGAGCGUUAUCCGGAUUUAUUGGGUUUAAAGGGAGCGUAGGUGGAUUGUUAAGUCAGUUGUGAAAGUUUGCGGCUCAACCGUAAAAUUGCAGUUGAAACUGGCAGUCUUGAGUACAGUAGAGGUGGGCGGAACUCGUGGUGUAGCGGUGAAAUGCUUAGAUAUCACGAAGAACUCCGAUUGCGAAGGCAGUUCACUGGACUGCAACUGACACUGAGGCUCGAAAGUGUGGGUAUCAAACAGGAUUAGAUACCCGAGUAGUC
RNAcentral lists this ribosomal RNA (460 nucleotides) under uncultured bacterium. RNAcentral describes it as "partial 16S ribosomal RNA". It matches the Rfam family "Bacterial small subunit ribosomal RNA", at positions 338 to 795 of the family's 1533-position model. The record is from RNAcentral.